CCCACCUUCCGGCUGCAGCUUGCGGAGAGGAAGCCCCGGCGAGCCCAGGGCCCCUGCUGCGGCCGAACGAAAGUUGGGGGGCAACAUCUCAGCUGAGUCAGGAGUUACGCCUCGGAGGUCCUUCUCUCGGAACAUCUUCCGCCAGGAUGGGGAGCGGCUGAAGGACUUGGCACUGUCCUAGGGAAAAGAGCUGCUCAGCACCUCCCUCUAGUUAGAGCAAUGAAACAGCCCGUGGAGCCCCCGCAACCCAGCAUAAUGGAAUGACCCGUGCACCACUAACAGUGGAAUAGCCGGGCUUCUACGCCGACCCCCACCAAGCCACAGACAAGAGCAGAGCUCCGCGCAGCGCCCCCUCCCGCGCUGCUCCUGAAGCAUGAUGGCCAGUGUCUGCACAUCAGCCUGCCCACUGGGAGACAGCAACUCAGCUCCAAACAUCCCCUCCGCCUCCUCCUCAUCUGAGCCAUCCAGCUCCCCAGGGAAUGGAGGUGGCAUGGACCCCGCAGGGGCAGACCGCUCCCACUCCUAUCUCUGUGUGGAGACAGAGAGAUGCCAGGUGGACAAGGGCCGAGGUAGGUGCUGGGUCUUCCCUCACCUAUCCUGACCUUGCCCACCCUCUAUAACCCUGCCCAUGUCCCCUGACACUGACUGCCCUCACCAUGUGACCCAGCCCCCCAGCCCAGCUUUCUCUCUUGGUGGGUCCUUCUUCUUGACCACCCAUGACUCUGCCCUCUCCCCUGAUUCCACUGUUUCCUUUGACCCAGCCCACUUCCUUUCUUCACUUGGCCCCAUCCAUUCUAGGAUUCUACACCCUGCAUACCAUCCCCCCAAACCCACCCCUCUUCCCACCCCAUCGUUCCUCUAAAGUUCUCACCAGGCAGCAGGACAUCCACGUGAAGAGCCAUCGAGGCAAGUGGGGAUGACGGAAGAAGAAGAGAAGACAGUGUGGGUCCAGGAGACCUUGCUUGUCAACUCAGUCCCCUCCCAGAGCUCUGCAUGUUGGGCUCCACCUCCUACUGCUGCCCUCCC
This is a long non-coding RNA of Balaenoptera ricei (Rice's whale), 1026 nucleotides long. RefSeq lists it as uncharacterized. NCBI's taxonomy places the organism in Eukaryota, Metazoa, Chordata, Mammalia, Artiodactyla, Balaenopteridae. The transcript is spliced from 3 exons. The record is from RefSeq and is a predicted model, not a curated record.